UUCCAUGUUGCCAGCACUUCGGGUGGGGACUCAUGGGAGACUGCCGGGGUCAACUCGGAGGAAGGUGGGGACGACGUCAAAUCAUCAUGCCCCUUAUGCCUUGGGCUUCACGCAUGCUACAAUGGCCGGUACAAAGGGUUGCGAUGCUGUGAGGCUGAGCCAAUCCCAGAAAGCCGGUCUCAGUUCGGAUUGGGGUCUGCAACUCGACCCCAUGAAGUCGGAGUCGCUAGUAAUCGCAGAUCAGCAACGCUGCGGUGAAUACGUUCCCGGGCCUUGUACACACCGCCCGUCAAGUCACGAAAGUCGGUAACACCCGAAGCCGGUGGCCCAACCCUUGUGGGGGGAGCCGUCGAANGUGGGACUGGCGAUUGGGACUAAGUCGUAACAA
RNAcentral lists this ribosomal RNA (388 nucleotides) under Arthrobacter sp. 1030. Its description in RNAcentral is "bacterial SSU rRNA". It matches the Rfam family "Bacterial small subunit ribosomal RNA", at positions 1108 to 1494 of the family's 1533-position model. Lineage: Bacteria; Bacillati; Actinomycetota; Actinomycetes; Micrococcales; Micrococcaceae. The record is from RNAcentral.